AGAUUGAACGCUGGCGGCAUGCCUUACACAUGCAAGUCGAACGGCAGCACGGGGGCAACCCUGGUGGCGAGUGGCGAACGGGUGAGUAAUGCAUCGGAACGUGCCCAGUAGUGGGGGAUAACUAGUCGAAAGAUUAGCUAAUACCGCAUACGACUACGGGUGAAAGCGGAGGACCUUCGGGCUUCGCGCAGAUAGAUGAGCCGACGUCGGAUUAGCUAGGUUGGACGGGGUAAAGCCCACCGAAGGCGACGAGUCCGUAGCGUGGUCUGGAGAGGAUGAUCACGCCACUACUAGGAACUGAGACACGGUCCAGACUCCUACGGGAGGCACGACGAGUGGGGAAUAGUUAGGAC
RNAcentral lists this ribosomal RNA (353 nucleotides) under uncultured soil bacterium. RNAcentral describes it as "bacterial SSU rRNA". It matches the Rfam family "Bacterial small subunit ribosomal RNA", at positions 26 to 371 of the family's 1533-position model. The record is from RNAcentral.